CAGCAGCCGCGGUAAUACGAAGGGUGCAAGCGUUAAUCGGAAUUACUGGGCGUAAAGCGUGCGUAGGCGGUGAGUUAAGUCUGCUGUGAAAUCCCCGGGCUCAACCUGGGAAUGGCAGUGGAUACUGGCUCGCUAGAGUGUGUCAGAGGAUGGUGGAACUCCCGGUGUAGCGGUGAAAUGCGUAGAGAUCGGGAGGAACAUCAGUGGCGAAGGCGGCCAUCUGGGACAACACUGACGCUGAGGCACGAAAGCGUGGGGAGCAAACAGGAUUAGAUACCCCCGUAGUCCCUGUCUCUUAUAC
RNAcentral lists this ribosomal RNA (301 nucleotides) under uncultured bacterium. RNAcentral describes it as "partial 16S ribosomal RNA". It matches the Rfam family "Bacterial small subunit ribosomal RNA", at positions 509 to 807 of the family's 1533-position model. The record is from RNAcentral.